AGGACGAACGCUGGCGGCGUGCUUAACACAUGCAAGUCGAGCGGAAAGGCCCUUCGGGGUACUCGAGCGGCGAACGGGUGAGUAACACGUGAGUAACCUGCCCCUAGCUCUGGGAUAGCUCCGGGAAACCGGGAUUAAUACCAGAUACGACCACUUUAGACAUCUGUCGUGGUGGAAAGGAUUUCGGCUAGGGAUGGGCUCGCGGCCUAUCAGCUUGUUGGUGGGGUAACGGCCUACCAAGGCGACGACGGGUAGCCGGCCUGAGAGGGCGACCGGCCACACUGGGACUGAGACACGGCCCAGACUCCUACGGGAGGCAGCAGUGGGGAAUAUUGCGCAAUGGGCGAAAGCCUGACGCAGCGACGCCGCGUGGGGAUGAAGGCCUUCGGGUUGUAAACCCCUUUCAGCAGGGACGAAGCGAAAGUGACGGUACCUGCAGAAGAAGCGCCGGCUAACUACGUGCCAGCAGCCGC
This 473-nucleotide ribosomal RNA is filed under the name uncultured bacterium. RNAcentral's name for it is "SSU rRNA". It matches the Rfam family "Bacterial small subunit ribosomal RNA", at positions 26 to 518 of the family's 1533-position model. The record is from RNAcentral.